This 204-nucleotide microRNA precursor is filed under the name Oryza barthii. RNAcentral's name for it is "MIR812 microRNA precursor family". It matches the Rfam family "MIR812 microRNA precursor family". The record is from Rfam by way of RNAcentral. Lineage: Eukaryota; Viridiplantae; Streptophyta; Magnoliopsida; Poales; Poaceae.
AAAAAGGCAAACCCUGGGUUUCCGUGUCCAACUUUAACUGUCCGUCUUAUAUGAUUUUUUUUAUAAUUCGUGUUUUUAUUGUUGUUAGAUGAUAAAACAUGAUUAAUACUUUGUGCGUGACUUAUCUUUUUAAUUUUUUUCAUAAUUUUUUCAAGUAAGACGGACGGUCAAACAUUGGACACAGAAACCAGGGUUUGUCUUUUU